Molecule: long non-coding RNA, 1639 nt
Organism: Bubalus bubalis (water buffalo)
Lineage: Eukaryota; Metazoa; Chordata; Mammalia; Artiodactyla; Bovidae
Exons: 3
Source: RefSeq, a predicted model, not a curated record
UGCGCUGUUCUCGUUAAGAUUCAGCCCUCUUUCUUGAAAUUGCACUCCUUGGAUUAUUGCAAACCUUCCCGGAGUUCUGAAAUUUUAGAUUCUGCCAACUGCUGAUAUGGUUCUCAUUGCAUUUAUGGAGUAUUCAUUCUUUAGAGGCAAUAAUUAGAAAUUAACAUACUUCCCCAAAAGUGAUUAGUGGCUUUUGAGAAGACGGAAUGUAAGAAUGAAUGCUGGGAAGUCAGCCUGCAAAUAUUCACUACAGCGAGUGGUUCCUGAGUUUUCUGGAACCCUUCUAUUGAGGCUUUCAGCUUAUUGGAUCUUACUUCAUCCCUGGGCUUCCCUGGUGGCUCAGAUGCAGAAGAAUCCUCCUGCAAUGCAGGAGGGAAUGGCUACCUACUCCAGUGUUCUUGUCUGUGAAUCCCAUGGACAGAGGAGAUUGGUGGGCUACAGUCCAUGGUGUUACAAAGACUCAGACACAACUGAGUGACUAAACAUGCAUUUCUUCCCUAUAAGAUUGUUCCAGUGUCGCCUAUCAGGAGCUUAUGACAACAUCAAAUGACAACAUUAAGAUGCCACAUAGCCUCCUAGCAAGAGUUCCUUUUCUGGCCUCCUUUGCAACCAGCUGUAUUCUUGUACCUAAUUUGUAACUAAUUAUUAGGAGCAAAAGUGUAACAACUUAUCACCUACACUGGAAAGAAAAGGACUGCAGUCUCUCUGUUGGCUGAGACAUGGACAUGUUGGUGACCAAGCUUUGUGCACUAAACAACAACAACAACAACAAAACAGAUGAACAACACUCCCAGUGGUGGUGGACCAAGGAAGCUGAAGGCCUGAGUCUUUUAAUGACCUUGCUGUCAUUGCUGCUCCCUUCCCUGCACUGACUCAUCUCUUGCUCCUGGACUGUCUGUCACCUGAUAGAGCAGCUGUACUCGAAGUAUCACUUGUUUCUGCAGCUUAGGCUGUACCCUAACCAAGUUAACUGGCUUGAAGUCAAAUUGGUCUGAUAGGAAGAGCAUUGCCCCAGCUCUCUUUUCAUUAGUAUUUUCCUGGUGUAAUUUUUUCUAGCAUCUUAGAUGAAACUUUGCAGUCUAUUAUGUUUUAGUUGCAUCUUAUAAAGCAUAUAUAGGUAGAAUGUUUUCUCUUCCAGUGUGAGAAUCUCUGGUAAAUUCAAUAUAUUUAAUUUUAUUGUUAUUGCUGAUAACUUGGGGCUUGUUUUAACUUUAUUUUUUCUCUUUUGCCACAUUUUUGUAUCUACAGUGUUAUUCAGAAGCUCUAUUUUUUUUUCUAAUUCUUUCUUCAUUUAAUUUUGUUAGUGAUAUUGUAACAUAGUUUUUACAAUGAUGUUUGAUUCAGUUUUGAGUUUUGUGUAAAUUAAACAGCACACUCCUAAAUGCCUAAUGGGUUAAAGAAAAAAAUCAAAAGAUAUCCUGAAACAAAGAUGAAAACAUAACAUACCAAAACUUAUGCAACAAAAAUAGUUCUAAAUGAAAGUUUGUUGUAAUAAAGUAACAACAAAUAAAAAUCUCAAGUAAACCAAUACUUCAAGAGAUCAGAAAAAGAACAAACUAAGCCUAUGGUCAGCAGAAAGAAAAAGUACCAAAGGUCAGAGCAGAAAUAAAUAAAAUUGAGAAUAGAAAAAACAAAACAA